Long non-coding RNA from Hermetia illucens (black soldier fly), 1095 nucleotides. RefSeq lists it as uncharacterized. The transcript is spliced from 3 exons. The record is from RefSeq and is a predicted model, not a curated record. NCBI's taxonomy places the organism in Eukaryota, Metazoa, Arthropoda, Insecta, Diptera, Stratiomyidae.
CGAACAAACAAACUAACAUGAGGACUAGUCUGCCCCAGCCACCAACGACACAUUUUGUUGAUUAUAUUGAAAGCAAUGUUGUUUAGUAUGAGAUUAUUAGACUGCAUGAGAUGAGGUUAUUUCAGAAAAAAUAAACACCAUCUUCGCCGAUAAUAGGACAGAUGAUGUACGGUGCUGCAUCCUAAUGUUCGGUGAGAACAGCAUUAUAAUGUAAGACAUUACAACUAGAUGCUGGCGGACUUACAUUUUAAGCAGAGGAAAGCAAACAAUCUAAAUUCAAUAGCAGCUCAAAUUUGACCAAUCAUUUCAGCUUUACAUUGUAUCUUUCGUAAUCUAUUUGAUUGACUAAUUUCUCUUGAAAACUAGGAGGAAAUUCUCAUUCAUUGGGACGAAUGACACUGAACUGAUAAAAUUAAUGAAAUUAUAUUAUACACACAAUAAGCACUAAUUUCCUGUUUUUGGAAACAUUCUAUGAUAAGCCAAGUGAAUGAAGAAGGAAAGAGGUUAUUAAUGAAAUAAAUCUAACAAAUGUCGUUUGAUUGAUUUGGAAGUAUGAUUCGAGUUUAUCCGUACAUUAUUGUUAUAGAUUACAUGCAGUAUAAUUGUGUUUCAUUUGAUAAAUGUUUCAGUUGAUAUUAUUUUGGUAUUGUUUGACAAAGGGAACAUUGGAUUCCUGAUAAUAAAAUUUACACGAAAAGAAAUUCUCUAUAAGACCUGGUUUAAAAUUAUGGAAGUUAGAUUAUUAAUAGAUUAAUCAGUAAAGUUGAUGGUUUAGUAACAGCGAAAUUGACUCAUUUUCGUUUAUCUUAGUUUUCAACGCAGAAUCUAAAAAUCAAAAAAAAUAUAUCAAAUGGACUGGAGGUGUCGCCUAACACAGACAGAUUCCGCUAGAAAGAGUUCGCUAUUAUUUAAAGGAAAUUGUUGGCACCAUCUAGCAUUAAAUCAAAGGCAGGAAAAAAUUUUUCAAAAUAAUUUUCCAUUUUUUUUGGGAAAAGUUUGUCAGUCAUCUGUGCCAGUGAGUGUAGUGUUUUCGUCAAAAGUUAAUAUAUAAGUUAAGAAAAGAACUAGGUAUUUUUCCUUACUUGCAAAUAUUUU